UUUGAAAGGAAGAAUCCUGGAACCUCCCACAGCUGUGAAAAUGAGACCACUUUGGCUGCUUCACUCUUUAUACAGAGAAGGAAAGACCUGGCCUCCCAGUGCAACGUCAGCUUAAAGAAGCAGAGGAGCCGCAGCAUCCUUAGCUCCUUCUUCUGCUGCUUCCGUGAUUACAAUGUGGAGGCCCCUCCACCCAGCAGCCCCAGUGUGCUUCCGCCACUGGUGGAGGAGAAUGGUGGGCUUCAGAAGGGUGACCAGAGGCAGGUCAUUCCCAUACCAAGUCCACCAGCUAAGUACCUUCUUCCAGAGGUGACGGUGCUUGACUAUGGAAAGAAAUGUGUGGUCAUUGAUUUAGAUGAAACAUUGGUGCACAGUUCGUUUAAGCCUAUUAGUAAUGCUGAUUUUAUUGUUCCGGUUGAAAUCGAUGGAACUAUACAUCAGGUGUAUGUGCUGAAGCGGCCACAUGUGGACGAGUUCCUCCAGAGGAUGGGGCAGCUUUUUGAAUGUGUGCUCUUUACUGCCAGCUUGGCCAAGUAUGCAGACCCUGUGGCUGACCUCCUAGACCGCUGGGGUGUGUUCCGGGCCCGGCUCUUCAGAGAAUCAUGUGUUUUU
This 609-nucleotide small RNA is filed under the name Pan troglodytes (chimpanzee). Its description in RNAcentral is "processed transcript". The record is from RNAcentral. Lineage: Eukaryota; Metazoa; Chordata; Mammalia; Primates; Hominidae.